This 395-nucleotide ribosomal RNA is filed under the name uncultured bacterium. Its description in RNAcentral is "partial 16S ribosomal RNA". It matches the Rfam family "Bacterial small subunit ribosomal RNA", at positions 338 to 730 of the family's 1533-position model. The record is from RNAcentral.
CCUACGGGCGGCAGCAGUGAGGAAUAUUGGUCAAUGGACGAAAGUCUGAACCAGCCAAGCCGCGUGAAGGAAGACGGCUCUAUGGGUUGUAAACUUCUUUUGUACGAGAAUAAAACCAGCUACGUGUAUCUGUCUGCGAGUACCUUACGAAUAAGGAUCGGCUAACUCCGUGCCAGCAGCCGCGGUAAUACGGAGGAUCCAAGCGUUAUCCGGAUUUAUUGGGUUUAAAGGGUGCGUAGGCGGUUUGAUAAGUUAGAGGUGAAAUUUCGGGGCUCAACCCCGGAAUUGCCUUUGAUACUGGUAGUCUAGAGUUGAGUAGAGGUAGGCGGAAUGCGUGGUGUAGCGGUGAAAUGCUUAGAGAUCACACAGAACACCGAUUGCGAAGGCAGCGUACC